AGUGAACGCUGGCGGUAGGCCUAACACAUGCAAGUCGAACGGCAGCACAGUAAGAGCUUGCUCUUACGGGUGGCGAGUGGCGGACGAGUGAGGAAUACAUCGGAAUCUACUUUUUCGUGGGGGAUAACGUAGGGAAACUUACGCUAAUACCGCAUACGACCUACGGGUGAAAGCAGGGGAUCUUCGGACCUUGCGCGAUUGAAUGAGCCGAUGUCGGAUUAGCUAGUUGGCGGGGUAAAGGCCCACCAAGGCGACGAUCCGUAGCUGGUCUGAGAGGAUGAUCAGCCACACUGGAACUGAGACACGGUCCAGACUCCUACGGGAGGCAGCAGUGGGGAAUAUUGGACAAUGGGCGCAAGCCUGAUCCAGCCAUACCGCGUGGGUGAAGAAGGCCUUCGGGUUGUAAAGCCCUUUUGUUGGGAAAGAAAAGCAGCAGGUUAAUACCCCGCUGUUCUGACGGUACCCAAAGAUUAAGCACCGGCUAACUUCGUG
RNAcentral lists this ribosomal RNA (492 nucleotides) under uncultured bacterium. RNAcentral's name for it is "partial 16S ribosomal RNA". It matches the Rfam family "Bacterial small subunit ribosomal RNA", at positions 29 to 507 of the family's 1533-position model. The record is from RNAcentral.